Molecule: long non-coding RNA, 1540 nt
Organism: Herpailurus yagouaroundi (jaguarundi)
Lineage: Eukaryota; Metazoa; Chordata; Mammalia; Carnivora; Felidae
Exons: 2
Source: RefSeq, a predicted model, not a curated record
ACCUCCCUGCCUCCCACCUCCCUGCCUCCAGCCUCCCGCCUCCCUGCGUCCUCUCCCCCAGCCCUCCUGCCUCCAGCCUCUAGCCUGCACAUGUAGGGAGGGGCAGUCCUGCAGCCAAGCCAUGCUGUGUGCCCCGAGCCUGUGCUACUGAGGAAGCCAUUUCUUCAGCCUGUACUACUGAGGAAUAGAAAAUUGUAAGUACAACAUUUGGCACUGAAGUGAGGAUUUAUUUAGAGUGAGACAAGAAAUGACAGCUAAUUGCAAGUUUCCACAGUAUCACAGCAUCACCAAACCCGAAAAAAGAAACCUCUACCGUAUUUUUGUCCUGCAUUUUGGGGAUGCAUUCCCUGUGAUGACCUUCCUCCACCUAUAGUAUGAUACAUCAAGACGCCGGGAAGAAGUUCCAGAGACCAAUGCCCAGCUCCUCACAUGGCCCACCUGUUUCUUUCCACCCCCACGUGUUGCCUGUGUGGGUCGCUGUUGAGCACGUUCAUACUGCGUCUGCACCAUCGUGUGGUGCCCUGUGGGUGAAGAUGGCACCAGUGCAGGUAGGAGGGUUUCUGAAGACCAUUCCUACACCAGGACAGGUAGAAAUCGCUUAACUAUGUUAAGAAUAGACUAAGAACCACCUAACAUCCUAAACCCAAACAAACCCUGUCCUCAACUCGAAUCCGCCUUAUCCACACCCAUUCCCAUUUCCGAUGUCCACAGACACGGGGAAGUGUGGAGGGGGGAGGGCGAAGUUCAGGAUGGAAGAGACAGUAACUUUAACAAUCGCAAAUUGUAAACCUGCCUUGGAGCUUGCCCUUGUCUUCCCCUUCCCCGUGCCUCUCCAGUCCGAGCACUUGAGUCCUCUGGAAAUGUACUAGAUUGCUGAUGCAUUCAGGAAGUACUUUCUGAACAUCUACUUAUCCUAGGCACUGUGAUUAGCACUGGAGUACAGCCAGGAUGUUGGAAAAGUUCUCCACCUGGAACUUUCUGGGCCGCUUCGCACUGAAGCUGGUUUCCUAGCCUGGCAUCAGUCCUGAGACAAAGCUGUCAGACUCACAAAGCUGCUCAGGGGGUUGUGAGCUGGAGAGAAACUUCUGCCUAUCAGAGGCCCUUUUGUCCCCUCCUCCUCCCAACCCAGCCCCAACCAAUCACUUAGCAAUUUCUGGGAUCAAACCUCCUUAUCACUUAGAGGCACUGUCUUAAGAUUACUACAGGCUCCAAGGAAGGUCCUUUUUGAAAAUCUUCAGGAGAACGUCGAUCAAUUAAAAGAUUAAAAUUGAUACUGAAUUUCUGGUAUGUCUAACAAGGAGAGGAAUUCGUCAGAUCUACUCGUCACACAUUUGAAGGAGACAGAAUAUAAAAAGAACUAAAUUGGCACAAAACUUCCUUUCAGAAACUGAGCUAGCAUUACCGAAAAGAGCAAAGUCCACUAAGCUCAUUCAUUGGCUUAUGAAAUUGUAGCCUAGUGGCUUACAUCCAACCCCAGGCCUCUCUUAGUCCUGCCUUCUACUUGGGAAAAUUUAUAUGCAAUAAAGAUCUGAAUACCUAG